This 425-nucleotide ribosomal RNA is filed under the name Akanthomyces attenuatus. Its description in RNAcentral is "eukaryotic LSU rRNA". The stretch from base 50 to 206 matches the Rfam family "5.8S ribosomal RNA". Lineage: Eukaryota; Fungi; Ascomycota; Sordariomycetes; Hypocreales; Cordycipitaceae. The record is from RNAcentral.
UAUUAUCAGCAUUUUCUGAAUCCGCCGCAAGGCAAAACAAAUGAAUCAAAACUUUCAACAACGGAACCUCUUGGGUUUCGGGCAUCGAUGAAGAACGCAGCGAAAUGCGAUAAGUAAUGUGAAUUGCAGAAUUCAGUGAAUCAUCGAAUCUUUGAACGCACAUUGCGCCCGCCAGCAUUCUGGCGGGCAUGCCUGUUCGAGCGUCAUUUCAACCCUCGACUUCCCUUUGGGGAAAUCCGCGUUGGGGAAACGGCAGCAUACCCGCCNGGCCCCGAAAUGGGAGUGGCGGCCCGGUCCCGCNGCGACCCUUCUGCGUAAGUAAUCCAACUCGGCACCGGAACCCCNACGUGGCCACCCCNGUAAAACACCCAACUUCCGAACGUUGACCUCNGAUCAGGUAGAAUACCCGCUGAANNCUUAGCAUA